GGCCCCGUAGCUUAGCCUGGAGAUCCACUACCUUAUGCGAAUAAGGAUAGGUGUUGGGCAUUGGAGUGCUCGACUGAUAAUCGAGUGGUCGUGAGUUCAAAUCUCAUCGGGGCCA
This 115-nucleotide transfer RNA is filed under the name Candidatus Woesearchaeota archaeon. RNAcentral describes it as "tRNA-Ile". It matches the Rfam family "tRNA". Rfam says of the family: Transfer RNA (tRNA) molecules are approximately 80 nucleotides in length. Their secondary structure includes four short double-helical elements and three loops (D, anti-codon, and T loops). The record is from RNAcentral. Lineage: Archaea; Nanobdellati; Candidatus Woesearchaeota.